Molecule: transfer RNA, 73 nt
Filed under: Candidatus Sungbacteria bacterium RIFCSPHIGHO2_01_FULL_54_26
Lineage: Bacteria; Candidatus Sungiibacteriota
Also listed under: 3 other names
Description: tRNA-Met
Rfam family: tRNA
About the family: Transfer RNA (tRNA) molecules are approximately 80 nucleotides in length. Their secondary structure includes four short double-helical elements and three loops (D, anti-codon, and T loops).
Source: RNAcentral
GCCGGCGUAGCUCAGUGGUUAGAGCGAUCGCUUCAUAAGCGAUAGGUCGCAGGUCCAAUUCCUGCCGCCGGCA